AUGUGAAAGAAAAAAAAAUGGAAUUUUUAAAAAUAGAAUAUAUUUUUUUGUUAUCAAUCUCUAGAUCCUUUUUUUAUAUUAUGGCCUUCAUCCUUGCAAAGACGUGCACAGUAUAUCCUGCCAGUGUCAAGCAGAUCUCUAGAUCCUUUUUUAUGUAAUAUAAAUUAUCUUUUCUGUCAUUGUCUGUUUGACGUUUAAUGAUAGUAUUUAAUGGAUUCACGUCAGAGAUAACGCAGUAUUUUUUGUUUAGAAAUAAAAUAUAUUAGAGGCAUGAAAUGUAUUUAAUAAAAUCUUUAGAAUUAUAUUAUUGAUGGCCUUACUUAAAAUGUUUACUCAGGAUAAUUAUUUACCUACUAUAUCAUAAGGUUUUCCUUAAACUGAGAUUCUAUUUACCAAAACUCAGAUAUAGAGAUUUUAGGAUUCUUUCUAAAUACAGAUUUAAAUCUAAUGUUGUCAAUAUAUCUUAAAAAAUCACAUAUAUAUUUUCUAUAUUACCAAUGUUGUAUGUGUGUUAGUUUGAUGUAAAAUUAAUACAAAUUAGUUUAAACAAGUUGUUAAAUUAUUUUACGACAUGUUUUAAAGUAAAUGAAUUUAUUAUGAAAGUUGUAUAAUUAAAUAUUUGUAGUAAUUUCUUUGGUAUAUUUUUGUAAUAUUUGUUCAUAUUAAUACUCAUAAUUAUUUAAUAAUAAUGAUUGUAAUCAUAGUUUACCUUCCAGCUACAGAGAUUUAUUCUUAGUUAUAAAACGUACAUGAUGCCUUAGAUUUGUUUCUAUUAAAAAAAUAUUCCUAAUACCCAUGAAUUAUUAUGUAAUAGGAAAGAUAUUUUAUAUGGUUUAAUAGCAUUAUACGUAUCUGUAUAUCGUAUAAAGUGGUGAAUAUCUCACCGCGGGAAAUCUUUAUUGCUUAUUGGAGGUUAUACUUUCUCGAAGACCAGACCUUUGGGUCUGUUCCAAGAGGUCGCCGGUUUGCAAAAGUGAAUCUAAAGGGUGGCAUGAUCACAGAGAUCAACAAUCACCACUCGCCUCCUCUACGGAUGUAUGUCAGAACGCGAAAGAAAAACCUAAUUGAUCUAAACAAUUAAUUGUCAUGCUCAUUUCAUUUCAUAAAGCAAUAUAAAAGCAACAUCUCUUAUCGGUUUUUUUUUAUCAUACUAAAUUAAUAUAUUCUAAGUAAUAGAACAGAUGAUGAAGAGGAUCAUGUCAUCGAAGAAUCUCAAGUAAUUUAAAAGAUAAUUUUAAACAGCAAUACCCAGUUUUAUUUUGGUAAACCAGUACAUAUCGCCAAUGAAUUAAUAUAAUACCUCUGAAUGUCUGAUUUGUAGAUGAUCUUAAAUUCAUUGCGAUAAAUGGCAAUAAAAGGGUUCUGAUGGUCGGCGGUUAUACUUUCGCGAGGACAAGCAAACGACAUUAUUAUUGUUCCAAGAAGGCCAAAGGGUGUAAAGCAAGGGUCUAUCUGAAUACAGAUGAAACGGAGAUCAUCUACUUGGACAAUAACCACGGGCACCAACCACCCAUCUACGCUAAGAGCUCAAAUGGCUGCUACGUCAAAGUCAGUGGAUGAAACAAAAAUAUAUAUACGAAUUUAAUUUUAUCACGAUAGCUGGCAACAAACGUCUCCUGAUGGUCAAAGGUUAUACGUUUGCUAAAACCAAUAAACGACAUUGGUACUGCUCCAAGAAGGCGAAAGGCUGUAAAGCCAGGGUUUACUUCAACUCGGAUGAAACAGAGGUUGUGUUCUGUGAUAAUACACAUCAGCACAAGCCUCCGAUCUAUACACAGAGCUCUGAUGGCUUUUAUUUUAAGCUUAGUGGCUGAAUAAAAAAAAAACUGUUUUAAUAAUAUUUUCUUACGAAUUAAAUUUGUUGUUUCAGUAACACAUUGAAUAAAGUUUUAUUAUAUUUGUUUCAGUUGAUUCCAAUAAACUCAGAUUUACAUUGUUAAUCGCUAAGAAGUUAGUGUUUUUGCUUUUAAUAAUUUUUUUUUUUAUUAUUAUGUCUUGAUCCAAAAAACAUGAGUCACGAAGUUGUUAUUUGUUAUUAUUUAAAUUGUUAUUAACUAUCGUUUAAAAUAUUUCCUUAAUAAUAUAUCUGUUAGCGUGUUCAUAGAUAAGAACAUUUGAAUUAAAAAAUACUCCUCAUUUUAAUAUAAAUCUAUUGAGAAAAAUUAAAAAGAUUUUUUUAGUAAUGUUCAUUUUGUUUAAUAUUUUGCUAAGUAAUGAUUUUAAUGGAAAUUAAUUUUCAAGUCUGAUGUCAAAAUAUACUUGUUUAGGAAGUCACUCGUUUGCCUAAAACACGAUAACCUAAAUAUCACGUGUUUAACAAUAAUGGCAUUUUAUAAAAAAACAUUAUUUAGAUAUUUUCAUUGCAGGGACUCUCAGGAAUAUGAAUUAGCUAGCAUUUAAAUAAAUAUUUUGAAUCAUUCUAUCUUUAACGUUAUAUUUUCCAUAUUAAAUCUAUUCCUAAUAAUAAUCUUUCUUUCUUAAUUAUUUCUAUGGUCGUGGUGGCACCUAAACGAUUCGAAAAGCAGAUUGCUGUUUCUAUAUGCCUGUGCCUUAUAUGCCACAAAAUGCCACCAACAAUAAUUGACCUUUAUAUUUAAAAAAAAAUGUCAUUUAAAUAAAACUAAUAUUGUCGGAUUUACUACGCGUUUUCAGGAUGUAGUUAAAUAAUAAUAAACAGAAAAUAUUAGUUUUAUUUAAAUGAGAACUCGCGAAAGUCUUAGAUCUCAACAUCUUAUUUACUUACAAUUUUUUUUUUCAUUAACUUUUAUAGAUUACAAUCUUUUUGAUUCCUGAUAUCAAAUAAUUUCCUUUUUUACAAACAAUUUUCAAGUUUUUCAAUUCGAAUAAGAAUCGUGAUGUGACUUUCAGAAUCAUUUGAGAUCGUUCAAAAUUAUCGCACCAACGGGAUGUUGUUGAUUUACAACGGGCAUACCUUCUAUCACAUGCACAACAAAACCCGCUGGUAUUGUUCAAAGUGGCAUAAAGGUUGCAGGGUAAAGGUCACAGCUACAUCUAACGGGACAUUUCUGUCUUGUUUUGGCAAACAUGACCAUUUGCCCCCAAUUAUUGUUCGAACAUCAGAUGGGAGAGUUUAUCAUAGAUGUACUCGAAUUUGUUCCAAGUAAUCGAGGCAAAGGUACUACACUUAUUUAUAAAGGUUACACUUAUUCCCACAUGACCCAUAAGACUAGAUGGUAUUGUUCUAAAAAGGCAGCUGGUUGUAAAGCCCGACUUAUCACAACUAUUGAAGGAGAGCUGGUGAAGGUUCUCAUGGAUUUCCAUAACCAUCCACCCCCGCAAUUAUAUCGUACUGCAGACGGGCAAGUUUACAAAGUAUAACAAGUGCUAAAUUGAACACUUCUUUAUUUUCCAAUUAUUACUAUAUUACGUUCAAUAAACAAGUUAUCGUCUCUAA
Molecule: long non-coding RNA, 3415 nt
Organism: Danaus plexippus (monarch butterfly)
Lineage: Eukaryota; Metazoa; Arthropoda; Insecta; Lepidoptera; Nymphalidae
Exons: 3
Source: RefSeq, a predicted model, not a curated record